RNAcentral lists this transfer RNA (85 nucleotides) under Bifidobacterium pseudolongum subsp. globosum. RNAcentral describes it as "tRNA-Leu". It matches the Rfam family "tRNA". Rfam says of the family: Transfer RNA (tRNA) molecules are approximately 80 nucleotides in length. Their secondary structure includes four short double-helical elements and three loops (D, anti-codon, and T loops). RNAcentral also lists the same sequence under 25 other names. The record is from RNAcentral. Lineage: Bacteria; Bacillati; Actinomycetota; Actinomycetes; Bifidobacteriales; Bifidobacteriaceae.
GCGCGAGUGGCGUAAUUGGUAGCCGCGCAGGAUUUAGGUUCCUGUGACUUCGGUCGUGUGGGUUCGAGUCCCAUCUCGCGCACCC